CUGUUCUGUCUCGUAGGUGACCUGCGGAGGGAUCAUUACACAAAUAUGAAGGCGGGCUGGAACCUCUCGGGGUUACAGCCUUGCUGAAUUAUUCACCCUUGUCUUUUGCGUACUUCUUGUUUCCUUGGUGGGUUCGCCCACCACUAGGACAAACAUAAACCUUUUGUAAUUGCAAUCAGCGUCAGUAACAAAUUAAUAAUUACAACUUUCAACAACGGAUCUCUUGGUUCUGGCAUCGAUGAAGAACGCAGCGAAAUGCGAUAAGUAGUGUGAAUUGCAGAAUUCAGUGAAUCAUCGAAUCUUUGAACGCACAUUGCGCCCUUUGGUAUUCCAAAGGGCAUGCCUGUUCGAGCGUCAUUUGUACCCUCAAGCUUUGCUUGGUGUUGGGCGUCUUGUCUCUAGCUUUGCUGGAGACUCGCCUUAAAGUAAUUGGCAGCCGGCCUACUGGUUUCGGAGCGCAGCACAAGUCGCACUCUCUAUCAGCAAAGGUCUAGCAUCCAUUAAGCCUUUUUUUCAACUUUUGACCUCGGAUCAGGUAGGGAUACCCGCUGAACUUAAGCAUAUCAAUAGGCGGGGAGGA
This 580-nucleotide ribosomal RNA is filed under the name Alternaria alternata. Its description in RNAcentral is "eukaryotic LSU rRNA". The stretch from base 204 to 357 matches the Rfam family "5.8S ribosomal RNA". Lineage: Eukaryota; Fungi; Ascomycota; Dothideomycetes; Pleosporales; Pleosporaceae. The record is from RNAcentral.